UUCAAGUCAAGCGGGCACAGCUGACUUUGCACGUGGGUUUCAUGCGCUCCAAAAAUGCUUUUUAUAUUUUCCCAAAAGGCGUUUGUGCACUUCUUAGCUUUUUUUGUCUAGUGAAGAGAAGGGCCAGGGGUGACGUGAUAGCAUCUUCCAAUAAUUGAGGGGCUGCCCCAAAGAGGAAGGGGGUCAAAUUAUUCUCUAAAGCACCCAAAGGCAGGAGAAGAAGCAACAACGGGUGGAAACGCAUCAAGGAGAGAAGCAACUUAGAACUAAGGAGAAAUUUCCUGACGAACAACGCAGGGAGUCCUCAAUUUGCGACCAAUUACUUAGCGGCCGUUUCAAAAGUUUCAGCGACGCUGAGAAAAGCGACUGACAUCCUGUCCUCGCACUUACGACCAGCAACGUCCCCCCAGUCCUGGGAUCAAAAUAAGACGUUUCGCUUCGCUUCUCAUCAAAGAAGUUUCUUCAACUCUUCAAACGUCUUCAAAGGAAAAAAAAACCCCAGAAAGU
Long non-coding RNA from Ahaetulla prasina, 507 nucleotides. RefSeq lists it as uncharacterized. NCBI's taxonomy places the organism in Eukaryota, Metazoa, Chordata, Lepidosauria, Squamata, Colubridae. The transcript has 3 exons. The record is from RefSeq and is a predicted model, not a curated record.